Molecule: ribosomal RNA, 123 nt
Filed under: Saimiri boliviensis boliviensis (Bolivian squirrel monkey)
Lineage: Eukaryota; Metazoa; Chordata; Mammalia; Primates; Cebidae
Source: RNAcentral
GUCUCCCGCUGUACUGCUCUGGAUGAACCCGAUCUCUUCUGAUCUCGGAAGCUAAGCAGGGUUGGAGCCUGGUUAGUUCUUGGAUGGGAGAAAAAGAAAAGGAAUGUAGCAGAGCUGAAGGUC